RNAcentral lists this ribosomal RNA (496 nucleotides) under uncultured bacterium. Its description in RNAcentral is "partial 16S ribosomal RNA". It matches the Rfam family "Bacterial small subunit ribosomal RNA", at positions 28 to 506 of the family's 1533-position model. The record is from RNAcentral.
GAUGAACGCUGGCGGCGUGCCUAAUACAUGCAAGUCGAGCGAACAGACGAGGAGCUUGCUCCUCUGACGUUAGCGGCGGACGGGUGAGUAACACGUGGACAACCUACCUAUAAGACUGGGAUAACUUCGGGAAACCGGAGCUAAUACCGGAUAAUAUAUUGAACCGCAUGGUUCAAUAGUGAAAGACGGUUUUGCUGUCACUUAUAGAUGGAUCCGCGCCGCAUUAGCUAGUUGGUAAGGUAACGGCUUACCAAGGCGACGAUGCGUAGCCGACCUGAGAGGGUGAUCGGCCACACUGGAACUGAGACACGGUCCAGACUCCUACGGGAGGCAGCAGUAGGGAAUCUUCCGCAAUGGGCGAAAGCCUGACGGAGCAACGCCGCGUGAGUGAUGAAGGUCUUCGGAUCGUAAAACGCUGUUAUUAGGGAAGAACAAAUGUGUAAGUAACUAUGCACGUCUUGACGGUACCUAAUCAGAAAGCCACGGCUAACUACGU